RNAcentral lists this ribosomal RNA (274 nucleotides) under uncultured bacterium. RNAcentral describes it as "partial 16S ribosomal RNA". It matches the Rfam family "Bacterial small subunit ribosomal RNA", at positions 523 to 796 of the family's 1533-position model. The record is from RNAcentral.
AUACGGAGGGGACUAGCGUUGUGCGGAAUUACUGGGCGUAAAGCGUACGUAGGCGGAUCAGAAAGUAUGGGGUGAAAUCCCAGGGCUCAUCCCUGGAACUGCCUCAUAAACUCCUGGUCUUGAGUUCGAGAGAGGUGAGUGGAAUUCCGAGUGUAGAGGUGAAAUUCGUAGAUAUUCGGAGGAACACCAGUGGCGAAGGCGGCUCACUGGCUCGAUACUGACGCUGAGGUACGAAAGUGUGGGGAGCAAACAGGAUUAGAAACCCUAGUAGUCC